This is a small nucleolar RNA of Grammomys surdaster, 130 nucleotides long. RefSeq annotates it as small nucleolar RNA SNORA17. The record is from RefSeq and is a predicted model, not a curated record. The transcript has a single exon. NCBI's taxonomy places the organism in Eukaryota, Metazoa, Chordata, Mammalia, Rodentia, Muridae.
CCUACCCCUAGAGGUGUUGCAGCUGUGGCUGCUGUGUCACAGGUGUGGCAGUAGGUGGCAAAGGAGAGAUGCUAUGUCUAUGCUCAGUGUUCUGACCUAUGAACACCUGAAUGAUUAGUAGCCUGAAAUU